GGUUAAGUCGUUUCGGUAGC
Molecule: microRNA, 20 nt
Filed under: Mesocestoides corti
Lineage: Eukaryota; Metazoa; Platyhelminthes; Cestoda; Cyclophyllidea; Mesocestoididae
Description: mco-miR-12070-3p
Source: miRBase by way of RNAcentral